This 69-nucleotide transfer RNA is filed under the name Cnemaspis peninsularis. RNAcentral describes it as "tRNA-Ala". It matches the Rfam family "tRNA". Rfam says of the family: Transfer RNA (tRNA) molecules are approximately 80 nucleotides in length. Their secondary structure includes four short double-helical elements and three loops (D, anti-codon, and T loops). Lineage: Eukaryota; Metazoa; Chordata; Lepidosauria; Squamata; Gekkonidae. The record is from RNAcentral.
GAGGUCUUAGCUUAAUUAAAGUGCUUGAGUUGCAGUCAGGUGAUGCAAGUUAGAGUUUUGCAGGCCUUC